GACGAACGCUGGCGGCGUGCUUAACACAUGCAAGUCGAGCGGUAAGGCCCUUUCGGGGGUACACGAGCGGCGAACGGGUGAGUAACACGUGGGCGACCUGCCCUCAGCUCUGGGAUAAGCCUGGGAAACCGGGUCUAAUACCGGAUAUGACUCCAUGACGCAUGUUGUGGGGUGGAAAGCCUUGUGCGGCUGAGGAUGGGCCCGCGGCCUAUCAGCUUGUUGGUGGGGUGAUGGCCUACCAAGGCGACGACGGGUAGCCGGCCUGAGAGGGCGACCGGCCACACUGGGACUGAGACACGGCCCAGACUCCUACGGGAGGCAGCAGUGGGGAAUCUUGCGCAAUGGGCGAAAGCCUGACGCAGCGACGCCGCGUGAGGGAUGACGGCCUGGU
RNAcentral lists this ribosomal RNA (391 nucleotides) under uncultured bacterium. RNAcentral's name for it is "bacterial SSU rRNA". It matches the Rfam family "Bacterial small subunit ribosomal RNA", at positions 28 to 420 of the family's 1533-position model. The record is from RNAcentral.